UGCCGGCGUGGUGGAACUGGCAGACACGUUGGACUCAAAAUCCAAUGCCCGCGAGGGCGUGCCGGUUCGAUUCCGGCCGUCGGUAU
This 86-nucleotide transfer RNA is filed under the name Enterococcus alcedinis. RNAcentral describes it as "tRNA-Leu". It matches the Rfam family "tRNA". Rfam says of the family: Transfer RNA (tRNA) molecules are approximately 80 nucleotides in length. The record is from RNAcentral. Lineage: Bacteria; Bacillati; Bacillota; Bacilli; Lactobacillales; Enterococcaceae.